UUUUGACCUCGGAUCAGGUAGGGAUACCCGCUGAACUUAAGCAUAUCAAUAAGCGGAGGAAAAGAAACCAACAGGGAUUGCCCUAGUAACGGCGAGUGAAGCGGCAACAGCUCAAAUUUGAAAUCUGGCUCUUUUAGAGUCCGAGUUGUAAUUUGCAGAGGGCGCUUUGGCUUUGGCAGCGGUCCAAGUUCCUUGGAACAGGACGUCACAGAGGGUGAGAAUCCCGUACGUGGUCGCUGGCUAUUGCCGUGUAAAGCCCCUUCGACGAGUCGAGUUGUUUGGGAAUGCAGCUCUAAAUGGGAGGUACAUUUCUUCUAAAGCUAAAUAUUGGCCAGAGACCGAUAGCGCACAAGUAGAGUGAUCGAAAGAUGAAAAGCACUUUGGAAAGAGAGUCAAACAGCACGUGAAAUUGUUGAAAGGGAAGCGCUUGCAGCCAGACUUGCUUGCAGUUGCUCAUCCGGGCUUUUGUCCGGUGCACUCUUCUGUAGGCAGGCCAGCAUCAGUUUGGGCGGUAGGAUAAAGGUCUCUGUCACGUACCUCCUCUCGGGGAGGCCUUAUAGGGGAGACGACAUACUACCAGCCUGGACUGAGGUCCGCGCAUCUGCUAGGAUGCUGGCGUAAUGGCUGUAA
Molecule: ribosomal RNA, 630 nt
Filed under: Alternaria brassicae
Lineage: Eukaryota; Fungi; Ascomycota; Dothideomycetes; Pleosporales; Pleosporaceae
Description: eukaryotic LSU rRNA
Rfam family: Eukaryotic large subunit ribosomal RNA
Source: RNAcentral